This 664-nucleotide ribosomal RNA is filed under the name Bacillus cereus. Its description in RNAcentral is "bacterial SSU rRNA". It matches the Rfam family "Bacterial small subunit ribosomal RNA", at positions 106 to 755 of the family's 1533-position model. The record is from RNAcentral. Lineage: Bacteria; Bacillati; Bacillota; Bacilli; Caryophanales; Bacillaceae.
GUGAGUAACACGUGGGUAACCUGCCCAUAAGACUGGGAUAACUCCGGGAAACCGGGGCUAAUACCGGAUAACAUUUUGAACCGCAUGGUUCGAAAUUGAAAGGCGGCUUCGGCUGUCACUUAUGGAUGGACCCGCGUCGCAUUAGCUAGUUGGUGAGGUAACGGCUCACCAAGGCAACGAUGCGUAGCCGACCUGAGAGGGUGAUCGGCCACACUGGGACUGAGACACGGCCCAGACUCCUACGGGAGGCAGCAGUAGGGAAUCUUCCGCAAUGGACGAAAGUCUGACGGAGCAACGCCGCGUGAGUGAUGAAGGCUUUCGGGUCGUAAAACUCUGUUGUUAGGGAAGAACAAGUGCUAGUUGAAUAAGCUGGCACCUUGACGGUACCUAACCAGAAAGCCACGGCUAACUACGUGCCAGCAGCCGCGGUAAUACGUAGGUGGCAAGCGUUAUCCGGAAUUAUUGGGCGUAAAGCGCGCGCAGGUGGUUUCUUAAGUCUGAUGUGAAAGCCCACGGCUCAACCGUGGAGGGUCAUUGGAAACUGGGAGACUUGAGUGCAGAAGAGGAAAGUGGAAUUCCAUGUGUAGCGGUGAAAUGCGUAGAGAUAUGGAGGAACACCAGUGGCGAAGGCGACUUUCUGGUCUGUAACUGACACUGAGGCGCG